This 90-nucleotide transfer RNA is filed under the name Myxococcaceae bacterium. RNAcentral's name for it is "tRNA-Ser". It matches the Rfam family "tRNA". From Rfam's summary of the family: Transfer RNA (tRNA) molecules are approximately 80 nucleotides in length. Their secondary structure includes four short double-helical elements and three loops (D, anti-codon, and T loops). Lineage: Bacteria; Pseudomonadati; Myxococcota; Myxococcia; Myxococcales; Myxococcaceae. The record is from RNAcentral.
GGAGCGAUGGCCGAGUGGCUGAAGGCGCACGCCUGCUAAGUGUGUAUAGGGGAAACUCUAUCCCGGGUUCGAAUCCCGGUCGCUCCGCCA